AGUGAACGCUGGCGGCAGGCCUAACACAUGCAAGUCGAGCGGCUGCACAGUGCUUGCUCCUGGUUUCAGCUGCCGACGGGCGAGUAAGUCCUGGGAAUCUCCCUGUUAGUUUUUUCUAGGGUGCGGACGCGGGCGCACAUACGGCAUACGUCCUGACGGAGUACGUGUGGGAUCUUCGGACCUUCCGCUCUCACAUGAUCCUAGGUCGGAUUAGCUAGUUGGCGGGGUAAAGGCCUACCAAGGCGACGAUCCGUAGCUGGUCUGAGAGGAUGAUCAGUCACACUGGAACUGAGACACGGUCCAGACUCCUACGGGAGGCAGCAGUGGGGAAUAUUGGACAAUGGGCGAAAGCCUGAUCCAGCCAUGCCGCGUGUGUGAAGAAGGUCUUCGGAUUGUAAAGCACUUUUGGUGGGGAGGAAGAGCAGUAGGUUAAUACCUUGCUGUUUUGACGGUACCCAAAGAAUAAGCACCGGCUAACUUCGUG
RNAcentral lists this ribosomal RNA (484 nucleotides) under uncultured bacterium. RNAcentral's name for it is "partial 16S ribosomal RNA". It matches the Rfam family "Bacterial small subunit ribosomal RNA", at positions 29 to 507 of the family's 1533-position model. The record is from RNAcentral.